Long non-coding RNA from Cygnus olor (mute swan), 1624 nucleotides. RefSeq lists it as uncharacterized. The record is from RefSeq and is a predicted model, not a curated record. The transcript is spliced from 2 exons. NCBI's taxonomy places the organism in Eukaryota, Metazoa, Chordata, Aves, Anseriformes, Anatidae.
GGAGGAAAAAAAAACUUUAUUAAUUUCUUUGUAUAAAGAGUAACAAAGUGCUUACAGAUUUAAGUCGGGCUCAUACGUGACAUACAGAAAAAAACAGGUAAUACUGUAAAAAUAAAUCUGACCUGGUUGCUGCUCAUAAUUACAAUUUUAUAUAUAUAUAUAUAUAUAGAUAGAUAAAGACAUCUUUCUCUGUUAUUGCCAGAACUAUUUCCUCAAAGCACUUCCAAAAUCGAGGUUUUGCCCAAGUUCUAGGACGCGGGUCAGCAAUAGGUUUCCAGUUAAACUACUGUUCAUCAAAGACUGACAGAUGUACAAAACGAGACUACACUCCUUCACUUGACUCAAUUACAGUUUAAAUGCUGGAUCUGGUCCUGACAGUAACACUUCCCUGGUCCCAGUCUGCCCCAGCUGGGCUCCGGCACUCCUGGUCAACCAAAUACUUCACAAGCACAUGGCUGGAGACUUAAGUCAAAUUAAACAAAGGCCAGUGAUAGUAUUUAAAGCAUAAUCACCUUGCAUCAAGGGAGCAGCUUUACAGAAAAACUGCUAAAAUGAAUUAACAUGCUGGCCAAAACUGGCAAAAAAAAAAAAAUAGAGUACGGUGUGCACUCCUCUGGUGGCACUGCUGAUAACAAGACACCUUUUUUUUUUUGGUUGAGGUGUUCUUUCCCUCUCCUAGGGACAGUUUUCCUGUUGUUCAGUCCUCCCCUUUACAAUUUACAAAAUUAUUCUUUGCUAGGGGAGUGUCUCCCCCCCUCCCCAUCUGUACAUGGCUUAAUUUUCUUUUCUAUCCCCAAAGAAGUUAUAUGUUUUCCUGCGUACAUUUCCCCACACCGUGCACUGUGGCUCACUUGCAACACAAGCUGAAGAUCAACAUGUUUGUUUGCAUGUUUAAUAGCUACAUAACUGGUGGAAGCUUCAGGGGGUAGAAAUGUGUAAUGUGGGGCAGAUGGGUUAGGAAAAGUAAAUGCAUUUAUCCAGAGAUGGGGUUUCUCAAUGAAACACAUGCUGAUGCAUACUUUUUUUUUUUUUUCCCUUUUUGAAGCAUGAUGGUGAAGCAAUUUUUUUUUAAAAUAUGAUUGAGAGCGCAGAACCGCAAAUGGCUUAAGCAGAGUUAUGAUACUGUUUUCUCUGAAUUUUUGCGCCCAAGUUGUUUUUUUUUGUUACUGAAAUGUAAGCGCAUCUCAGCCAAAAUUUUCUAAAAGCUUCCUCAAAAACGCCAUAAAAAUUAGGAGUUCUCUUAUGUCCACUAGGUUCACGGAAUAAAUGUGAACCACAGACUUGCUUUAAAUGCUACAGUUGCACUGAGAUCCAUGCACUGAGAACUGUAGCAUUUUUUUUGACACUGCUCUUUCAGCUCACGUUUAUCUGGACAGUUCAAAUUGGAGCAAGACCAUAAUCAAAUAAAGGUGAAACUGUGUUGCAGUAACCGGCGUAAAAGGAGUUGAAGCUAUUGUUUCUGCCAUACCUUUUAAAUCAAUUUGAUCCAACUGUUGACUAAAUAAAAAAAGGAAACCUGUUGGAAAAAUAAUCCUUUGAACACAUUAGCACAGUCAGAAUACAAAUUACAGUAGUUAAAAAAUGAAAGGUCUGGGCAUUUAUAUUUUGACACACAUUUAAAGCA